This 608-nucleotide small RNA is filed under the name Pan troglodytes (chimpanzee). RNAcentral's name for it is "retained intron". The record is from RNAcentral. Lineage: Eukaryota; Metazoa; Chordata; Mammalia; Primates; Hominidae.
UGGAUGCAGCCUUGGCCCUCCCUGCCCAUAGCUACAGUGGCCGGGAGCGGGUCUACUUCUUCAAGGGUACUCAGGGGUGGUGGGAGACUGAGCAGGCAGUGGAGCAGUCUUGGAUUCCUUUCACACUUCACCGGGGACAGGCCUCAGCAUGUGCCCACCCCUGACCCCCACCUCAUGCUGGGAGAUCCUAACUUCAACAGCCUCUGGGAUCUCCAGUCUUGCCCUGGCCCAGCCCUCCUAAUGCCCACCACCCUGCUCCUCAGGGAAACAGUACUGGGAGUACCAGUUCCAGCACCAGCCCAGUCAGGAGGAGUGUGAAGGCAGCUCCCUGUCGGCUGUGUUUGAACACUUUGCCAUGAUGCAGCGGGACAGCUGGGAGGACAUCUUCGAGCUUCUCUUCUGGGGCAGAACCUCUGCUGGUACCAGACAGCCCCAGUUCAUUAGCCGGGACUGGCACGGUGUGCCAGGGCAAGUGGACGCAGCCAUGGCUGGCCGCAUCUACAUCUCAGGCAUGGCACCCCGCCCCUCCUUGGCCAAGAAGCAGAAGUUUAGGCAUCGCAACCGCAAAGGCUACCGUUCACAACGAGGCCACAGCCGUGGCCGCAACC